RNAcentral lists this unclassified non-coding RNA (271 nucleotides) under Hevea brasiliensis (rubber tree). The record is from RNAcentral. Lineage: Eukaryota; Viridiplantae; Streptophyta; Magnoliopsida; Malpighiales; Euphorbiaceae.
GAUUUGAUGAUAUAGAGCUUAAUCUGAAUGCAGACAAUUAUUUCUUCAAUGCAAAAUAUAUUUUAAAAAUCUUGCCUCCAUUUGUUUACAUAUGAUAAUGAACAAAAAUAAUAACCAACAGAUUUGACACAUCUCACACAAUUCAUUGACCCUCAGCAUCCAGCCCUUCAUCAGCCGUGAGUGUGGCACAUUAUGUCAUUCUUUGUCGUAUAUGGUCAUCAAUAAUUUAAUAAUAAUUGAUCUCAGGCUCCCUCUCUGGAAUCGAACCCUG